GACUUAAUCAACCGAGCUUAUGACCCGCGCUUACUGGGAAUUCCUCGUUCAUGGGAAAUAAUUGCAAUCCCCAAUCCCUAUCACGAGUGGGUUUCAGCUUUGCAACCAUACUCCCCCCGGAACCCAAAGACUUUGGUUUCCCGGACACUGCCCGGCGGGUCAUGGGAAUAACGCCGCCGGAUCGCUAGUUGGCAUCGUUUAUGGUCAGAACUACGACGGUAUCUGAACGUCUUUGAACCUCCGACUUUCGUUCUUGAUUAAU
Molecule: non-coding RNA, 262 nt
Organism: Salmo salar (Atlantic salmon)
Lineage: Eukaryota; Metazoa; Chordata; Actinopteri; Salmoniformes; Salmonidae
Source: RefSeq, a predicted model, not a curated record